Molecule: non-coding RNA, 2749 nt
Organism: Chrysemys picta bellii (western painted turtle)
Lineage: Eukaryota; Metazoa; Chordata; Testudines; Emydidae
Source: RefSeq, a predicted model, not a curated record
AACACGUGAGAGCCCGCCCACGUGACCCUUUUGGCGCGCAAUUUUCUCGGGGUUCACGGGCUGGCCGAAGGUGCUUGCAGAAGAAAAGUGGGAUAAGAGCGCGAGUCACCGCCGCCCCUCCCCCCGGAUAUCUGCGCGCGAAGGGGCUCGAGUGGCGGGGAGCAGCAGCAGCCGGUGAAGCAGCGUCAUGUCCUCGCCGGCCUCCACACCGAGCCGCCGCGGCAGCAAGCGCGGGCGGAGCAGCAACCCCCCGACUCCAUGCCCUGAAGAUGCUCAGUCUCGUCCUUCACAAAAACGUUGAACAGAUGACUCCACAUCUACAGGAGAUCUACAGCCAAUGCGAACUUCUCCAGCAGUGGACAUGCAAAGCCCAAAUGCUCAAGAUGUUCUGUUUUCCAGCCCACCACAAUUUCGAGAAUCGGGGCAUUCUGCUUCAGCUGUUUGGGGGACCAAGAAAAGAUUUCAGUCAUACUGGAAGAGGCAAUUUUCGUGCUGAGAUCAACAUUCUUCUCUGUGAUGAUCCUGGCACUAGUAAAUCACAGCUGCUUCAAUAUGUCUAUAACCUGGUUCCUUAGAGGCCAGUACACAUCUGAGAAGGGCUCUAGUGCAGUUGGUCUCACUGCAUAUGUAAUGAAGGACCCAGAGACAAGGCAGCUGAUUCUGCAGAUGGGUGCUCUGGUUCUCAGUGACAAAGGCAUUUGCUGCAUUGAUGAAUUUGAUAAAAUGAAUGAAAGUACAAGAUCAGUUCUGCAUGAAGUAAUGGAACAACAGACUCUAUUGCCAGGGAAAGGUUGUUUGCUCUCAAAUACGUUUCCUUUUGACAGGCUGGAAUUAUUUGCCAGCUGAAUGCUCGCACGUCUGUCCUAGCACCUGCUAACUCUAUAGAGUCGCAGUGGAAUCCAAAGAAAACUACUAUUGAAAACAUCCAACUUCCUCAUACAUUGUUAUCCAGGUAUUACAAUUAGACUUCUAGUUCCAUGAUGCAUGCUUUGUUUUUACAAAACAACUUUCUACCUCUUCCUGUGUGUGUGUGUGUGUGCGUGCAGAAACAUGUUGAUUGGGAGUUGCAUUUGCAAUGUAGAAAGCUGAAGUUUUUUUUCUAAAUUUACUUUAAAGGUAAUGUUUUUAACUAAUACUCUAGCAAAGGACUAUAAUUGACUGACCAGUAUAUAGUGCUUGAUAUUGAAUAAUGGCAUUUGGUAGUGUCGCUAAGGUUUUGUUGUAUCCAUUGUUCUGCUUGUUUCAAGAUUUUGUGUCACUGCACAGGCACUGGGAUUUUAAAAUCUCAAGUAUUUUACAUUUAGUUCUAAAGGCAUGUAUCUACUCUGGAGCUGGAGUGUAAUUUCCAGCUCAAGUAGAUAUACCUGCUGUAGUGGUUAUCAAGCUACAGUGCUAAAGAUAGAAGUGUAGCCACAGCAGUGCAAGCAGUGGGACAGGAUAGGUGCUCCAAGCAUGAUCCCAUCUGAAAGUGCAUACUCGGGCAGCUAACCUGGGUAUGUCUAUCCAAGCUGGAAGUUACACCUCAGCUCCAGUGUAAACAUUCCGUGAGUUGCCUUUUCUUCCUGUCAGGCUGUGUUAGUAGCUGGAGUAAGUGUUUAAUGAACAAUGAUAGAGGCAUCACAUUUUAGGAAAAGUAUAAAAAUUAGUCUUUAAGCCAUUGCAUGCUUUACAAAUUAGGAAGCCAAAUAUAAUAGUAUACAAGUGUAUGGUUUGUAUUCUUAUGUCAAGUGUCACCCUGUUUUUUGUGGGCCUGAGCCUGUUGAUGAUAAAUUAAGGUUUUUAACCUCUUAAAAUAGGUACUAUAUCUCCUAUCAUGAGGCACCUAGAACUCUUUUAGGCAGUGUAGAAAAUAAGUAACUGUGGAUGAUAAGCAUCUAAUUCCAUUGAUUUAAUAAAUGUCAGGUAGUUGUCAUCUUUUGAAAUCUAACUAAAAAUAUGCCCAUCACAUUCUUCUCAGAAUACAGUUGCACCCAUGAAUUAUUCAAUACAUUAAGCAGACAAACUUCAAAUACGUGUAAAUAGAUUUCCCCCUCAAGAUCAAACUGGAAGCAUGUGUAGACGCCACCUCAUCACACAGAAUCUUGAGUAAAUGAAGUUUACGCUAUGCCUUCAAGGUCCCAGCCUUCAGAGGUUGUUAGGUGAAUGAUGGGAGAAAAUUCCAUAGUUGGAAGCCCUCUGAAAACAUCCUGCCUUCAAAUAUUCAACUCUGUAGACAGAAAGCAAAAUCACAUUUUCACUCUCUUUUUUUACCUCCUGAGAGUAUCGUGUACUCCUGAUGUAAUGAAUAAAAUGUUAGAUUUUAGAUUUCAGACAGCUUCCGCUUGGUUGAUCAAAAUCAUAAAACCAAGUAGUGUAAAUGGUGGGGAAAAGUUUAUGCACUAACUAUUGGAUCUUUAUUCCAUGCACAUUUGAUCUGAUCUUUCUAAUGUUGGACCCACAUGAUGAGGCCUGUGACAGACGUCUUGCUCACCACUUGGUUGCGCUGUACUACCAAAGUGAAGAGCAGGUGGAAGAAGAGUACAUGGACAUGGCAGUAUUGAGGGAUUACCUUGCGUAUGCUCGUAGCUAUGUUAAUCCUAGACUAAGUGAAGAAGCAAGUCAGGCCCUUAUUGAGAGAUAACUGCCACUGCCCAUAAACGUAAGGAGGAGCUAGCUCAAGCCUUGAAGAAGCUUAUCCAGUCAAAGGGUAAAACACCAGCUCUAAAAUACCAACAGCUCUUUGACGAUCUCUGUGCACAGUCUGACGCAG